Molecule: long non-coding RNA, 5352 nt
Organism: Zalophus californianus (California sea lion)
Lineage: Eukaryota; Metazoa; Chordata; Mammalia; Carnivora; Otariidae
Exons: 5
Source: RefSeq, a predicted model, not a curated record
GUUUCUAAAGUAUUGGAGGAGUUUGAUGUUGAAGAGCAACCGAAAACCAUGUUAGAAAAUCGCUUUCCCAACAUUAAGAUUAUAGAAUCCGGAGUAAAGCAACUAAAGAGUAAAGAACACUGCAUUUUAACAGGAGAUGGCAGUCAGCAUGUGUAUAAGAAACUCUGUGUGCUGGAGCUAAACCAAAGUUGAUAUGUGAAGGAAAUCCUUACGUAUUAGGAAUCCGUGAUACAGUGUUCAGGAAGGAAAAAGGAAACACAGACCAAAGCUGGUGCUGGUAAUAUGGGCAGUGCCUUGGGACCUGAUUGGCAUGAAGGCUUGAAUCUUAAAGGUACAAGAGGUAUGUGUUCAUAUACUAAUUAAACCUAAGAUGCAAUUUUAAAUUCUUGAACCAUUCAUUAAAGACUGAUUACAAGUAAGUCAAACAACUGCUAGGUCAUUUUACUUAAAAUCCAAAGUGCUAGGACAGACAGGACCAAUGGCAUGUGGCCCAGUUCCUUACCAGGUAAGUAUGUCAUUCAUCUAAAACUGACUCAUGCCCUUCUUUUUAGUUCCCCAGGCAGAGAGAUUUCCAGGCUUGGACUACAAGUGAAUAUAACUGUCCUAUAUUAAAUUAAUCUUUUCUCAAAGGUCACUUCACAUGCAUUACAACAUUUCAAAGUUUAUUAGAUGAAUUCUAAAUAAAAUAUGUAUUUAACACCCUAAUUGGAUAAGCAGAUGACUUGCUUUUACUCAUUUUAUUUAUUAGAUACAUUAUAUUUAAAUAGUAAAAGGCUGUGAUAUUUAAGUACUGUAAGAAGCAUACGUGGAGUCCUUAUUACUGUGUAUGAUUUCUUUUCAGCCUUGGGUAGUUUGGAGGGGAGCUGGCUUCAUGGCAUAUCUAAUUUUUGUGAUAGAAUUAUACAGAAUCAUUUUUUCCUGCAUCUUCAGAUCCAAAGAUUAAUAGUAUUUUUAACCUGAGAACUUCAGCAGUUUGGUUCAGUAAACAUUAUCUCCUAUGUACUUGGCACUUUCCUAAGGUUCUGGAUAUAACAGUAAGUCGGCACAGAGUGCCCUCAAGAGGCUUUUAUAGUCUCUAGCAGUUGUAAUUUUUAAAGACUAUAUUUGAAACUAUCAAUGAAGCUUAUACUAAAAAGUAUACCCUUGGUAUUACCUGCCAAUGCAACUACUUGUUCUCUUAAGUUCUGAGUGGAUUUCCCUCCCUUCAUGCACAAAAAUCGUGAAAGGCUUGUUUUGGGGCAUCCAGUGUGUUUCCAUUUAUAUUGUUAAGAAUUAUUUUUCUGUAUGUUUCUACAAGUGUAUUGUAAUUUUGGGGGGGAUGUGUUAUGGUGAUCAGCAUUGCUUUUAGUUUUCUUGUAAGAUUCACAUCGAAACUGUAUGUGAAGUAAAGAAAAUCUACCUUCAGGAAGAAUUUAGAAUUUCUAAGGAAAAGUCUUUGCCUUUUCCCAGAGACCACUAUAAUCACUCAGUCACAACUGAUAAAGGAAAUUCUACAUCCAACCUGGGGCUAGAACUCAAAACGAGAUCAAGAGUCGCAUGCUCUAUUAACUGAGAAGGCUAGGUACCCCUUAAGGAGUGUUGUUUUAAAGUCCUCUCCUGCCUUCUUUCUUUGUUCUAGGCAUUAUGACAUAAUUCUGUGGACAGCUGAUGGUGAUUACAUUUGAGAUUAAGGGGGGUUUUUUGUAUUUGUUUUGUGGGGUGUUUUUAAGAGGUAUUUAUAUGUGGAAUUGACUAAUGAAAAGAAAAACGGCUGCAGGAGUUAACACCAAAUAUAGAACCUUUUCUCUAUGGCAACAAUGUAAGGUGAAAUUUUUUGUCCUGCUAUGAUGAUUUUUAACUGUUCAUUGUCUUAGUGUAAAACUGUAACUUAAGGAAGCUGAAAACAAUUUAGUUUACAGUCAUGUUUUGAUUUACAGUAUUUCGUAUUGCCUAAAGUCCUUAAGCAGUAAACGUCCCAGCAUCAGUGUCCUCAUAAAUGGGACAUAAUGCACAGUUCAUUUGCCUAAAGGUUGAUGAGACAGACACCUAUGAAAUCUUACAAAUGAUUCUUUUAGAGAAACUAUAUUUUCUUCCUUUUAGCAUUUGAAGCUCAGAAAACUGAGGAAUAUUGUAAUUACAAGUGGGGUAAUCAUAUGGUUACUGAGUGUUUUUGAUCUUAAAAGUCUACGAAUGUUUUGGUUGGUCUGUCCUAGUAGGAUUUUGAUUCCCUGGAAAUUCAGCUGAGUUGUCUAAACUUGGCAGCUGUUUUUUACUCGCUCACCGAAGAUCAGCAUACCAAGGUGUAAAAAUGACUUGUUUACUUUAGAUCAAAAAAAAAGACACCUUUCAUUUUUCUUCCCAUGUAUGCUUAUCAGGAAUGUUGUUUAGUUUGAUCUAGGAGAAGACGGAGGCCUGAAAGUGGAUGCUCACAUGCACACGUCUCUCUCUGAUGUCUAUGCUGCGGGUGACAUCUGCACCGCAUCCUGGAGGCCCAGCCCGGUGUGGCAGCAGGUAAGCCGGCAUCCACCAUCACACCUUGUAUCAGAUUCCAUCUGACGGUACAGGAGUGAGUCACUACCAGCAAAUCCAAAUUUCUGGUUUUCCCACUUUGCUACUUUAAGUAGGAAGUUAUCCUAGAGUUUUGGUGACAUUUUAAAAAAAAGGAUGUUCCCCUUUUGGUAAGUUAUGAUAUAGUGGUGGAACACACUGGGAGCAGCACUGUCCAGUGGAACUUUCUGAUGACAGAAACGUUCUGUAUGUUUGCAGUGUCCAGUCAGGUAGUCACCAGCUACAUGUCUCUGUUGGCACUUAAGAUGUGCUGAAUGUGACUGAGGAACUGAAUUUUAAUUUUACUUACAUUUAAGUUUAAAUAGCUCCCUGCAUCUAGUGGCUACCAGACUGGACAGCACAGCUUUAGAUGAAUAAAUAACAUACCGAGGUGUAAACCGUAUAGAUGAAUGAUGGCCCCAUGGGAUCCUGAUGACCCAGUUCUGUCUCUGUGGGAAUUAUGACCGAAAAAAUUUCCUGAAGCAACCAUUCUUCCUCAGCUACACGACUCUCUCCAUCUGGAUGUCCACAUCCUCCUGCCCUCACGGUGCUGCCCGCCUCCUCACGGUGGAGCAGAAGUCCUUGAGGAAGAUAUUCAGACCGCGGCCGUAGGCGAGGUGGUCUUAGGAGGAGUAGAGACACAGGUAGAUGUUACAGAUAAAAGAACCAGGCAACACUCGGUGAAAGACCAGCUCCACAGGUAGAGAUUUUCCUCCUGCAGAUUAACUGUGGAAUAUGAAGUAGCGGAAGGGCCAGAUGCAUUCUAAGAGGCACCUUCAAUACUUUUGUUUUUACAGAGAUAACAGUUAUAGGAAGAGUGCUUUCGGCCUCUUUCUAAAGUGCUAGCUUGUUUUCAGUUUUCCGCCUCAGUCAUUCUCUGUCACUCCUGUGGCCUGUCAUCAACCCUCAAUUAGGAAUUGGGAGUUUGUGGGGUUUUUAACAUUUUAAACCUUAUAGAGUAAAUUAUAUCUUUAAUAGGUGUCAUACUCUGCUACAGGCAAUAUCCAAAAAUAAACAGCUGUCUCUUGUUUUGAGUGAAUCUAAUAGACCUUGUGUCUUCAUUUGUAGGAGCAAUAAGUAAGUACACUAAUUAAUUAGUUUUCCAUGAUCCAAGACCCAAACUGGAGGGACUCAGAGGCUGGUGUAAUACUGCCGGCCGGCUGCCUCCUUUAGCCAUUCUCGAGUGUUGUGCUCAGUUUGCUCUGCUCCCUUCCCACAGCCCCUCUUUCACUUCAUCAAACCAAUCCUGUUAAUACACAGGAGACGGAAUUUCAAAAAAAAAAAAAAAUUAUCAGGGUACCUGGGUGGCUAAGUUGGUUAAGCAUGUGACGCUUGUUUCACAGCUCAGGUCAUGAUCUCGGGGUCGGGGAUCUGGCCCCAUGUCGGGCUCUGCACUGGGCAUUGAACCUGCUUAGGAUUCUCUCCCUCUGUCCCUCCCUGCUUGCACUCUUUCUUUCUCUCUCUCUGUCUCUCAAAAAAUAUAUACAUAUCACUUCUACCAAAAAUGCUUGAAAAUCACAGCCAUGAUUGUGGUGGUAUUUUUGCACACAAAAGGACAUUCGUUACACACAGGGGUAUAAGGUACACACAGGGGUGUAGGUUAGCUUAUUUAAUUCUCUCAGUAGCCAUGGAAUAGAUGGUGUACAUUUAUGUUUCAGGUAAAGAAAUCAAGUCUCAAAUAAAAAGUUAAAUAUGUACAAGAGUUGGUAUUUAAAUCUCUUGGCUCCCAAGGUAAGUGUUUUAUCAGGGAUUCCCAAAACUUUGUAGAAAUACAAUAAAAAUACAGUAGAGGAGAAAUUAGCAGUGUUGUAAGGAAAGAAUUUAAAACGAAUUUCCAGGGGCACCUGGGUGGCUCAGUCAGUUAAACAUCUGCCUUCGGCUCAGGUCAUGAUCCCAGGGUCCUGGGAUCGAGCUCUACGUCGGGCUACCUGGUCAGCAGGGAGGCUGCUUCUCCCUCUGCCUGCCUCUCCCCCUGCUUGAGCUCGCUCUCUCUUUCUCUCUCAAAUAAAAAUGAGUUCCCAGCAUUGGUUGCUGAAAUCAGAUAAGAUUUUCUUAGGCUGGACAUCACCUAUUAUAUCGAUCUGCCUGACCAUUGAGGUUUAACUGCAUGGGAGGCCUUAACUAUCUAGCACAAAAAACUAAGGAUUAGGAAAAGGAAUGAAUUUUUCAAUGAUAAUUUGUCAUCGCUACUUAUGCUGAUAAUGAACUCACUCUGAAAGAAGAGACUAGUUAAUAAGUAGUAUUCUUACCUUAGUGUAGCCUGAAAUAUUUUAAUUAUUUUUAAUGGAGAGCUUAUUGAAACAUACAGAGUUGGUAUCAUCCUUUCAUUUUAAAGGCAAUAAUUUGGAUAAAAUUAUCAGAUACCAAAAUCAGUCUGGUUGGUGUGGACUGGUGACUGCUUAUCUAUGCCAGAGACAAUCCAGCUAGUCCUCUAGCUCGCUAGAUCUAGCAAGUCUCAAGGACUGUCAACAUUGAACCCCUUCAAGGAAUUUUGUAAGGCAUCUUUAAAUUACAACAAUGAAAAUUUUUCUGAUAACAUUUUUUUCUUUCAGGUGAGGCUGUGGACGCAGGCUAGACAGAUGGGAUGGUAUGCAGCGAAGUGCAUUGGCUGCAGCUAGUUUAGGAGAAUCUAUUGACAUGGGCUUUAGCUUUGAAAUUUUUGCUCCAGGAACAAAAGUUUUAAACUAUAGGUCGUAAUGCUGGGAAAAUAAAACGCACAGGGCUUAGGUUCAGAUCAUGAAUUAAUGCUGAGAUGUACCAAAGGACAAGAAUACGUCAAAGUUGUCAUGCAGAAUGGGCGAAUAAUGGGAGCUGUCUUAAUUGGUG